Molecule: transfer RNA, 85 nt
Filed under: uncultured archaeon
Lineage: Archaea
Description: tRNA-Ser(tga)
Rfam family: tRNA
About the family: Transfer RNA (tRNA) molecules are approximately 80 nucleotides in length. Their secondary structure includes four short double-helical elements and three loops (D, anti-codon, and T loops).
Source: RNAcentral
GCUGGGAUGGCGGAGCGGUCCAACGCGUCAGACUUGAGAUCUGAUCCCCUCACGGGGGCACAGGUUCAAAUCCUGUUCCCAGCGC